This is a non-coding RNA of Pelobates cultripes (western spadefoot toad), 256 nucleotides long. Lineage: Eukaryota; Metazoa; Chordata; Amphibia; Anura; Pelobatidae. The record is from the annotation of a GenBank genome assembly.
GGUGGGGAGCGCAAGAUUUCUAACAUCCACCAGCUCCGUGAUGUCGUCACGGAGGAGUGGAAGAGGACUCCAGUAGCAACCUGUGAAGCUCUGGUGAACUCCAUGCCCAUGAGGGUUAAGGCAGUGCUGGAAAAUAAUGGUGGCCACAGAAAAUAUUGACACUUGGGGCCAAUUUGGACAUUUCCACUUAGGGGUGUACUCACUUUUGUUGCCAACAGUUUAGACAUUAAUGGCUGUUUGUUGAGUUAUUUUGAGG